UGGUAGAGGGGACGCCGCUGCACGUGCGUGAAUGUCCGGAGCCAGUCUCAGCUCGAGGUGAGCACGCUAGCCCUUACCCUAACUCUACUUGACUUCUCGAUCUAUCAAUCUGAACUUAGAUUUUGUUCAGAUUUGCGGCGAUUUUGUUCAGAAUGCAUCCUUCGCCCCUGAAAAAUUCUCAGAUUUUGUUCAGUGAUGUAGCUAUGGGGAUGUGGUGGUCUUGUGUCUGAUUUCUUUGCCCACACUUUGGGGGUAGUACUGUACAGAGGGCAAUUGGGAAUUGAACAAUCAAAUGUUCUGCAACUCAUCCAGAAACUUAUGUUACUUAUGAUACUGACGACAAUAGGCUAUAUGCGAUUCUCAUGUAGCCGGUUUUAACUGAAGUUUAACAUAUUGAUAUACAUCAUUUUUAUAUUGUUGAAGAGAGGUCAUAAAAAAUGUCAAUUA
This 447-nucleotide long non-coding RNA is filed under the name Triticum aestivum (bread wheat). RNAcentral describes it as "long non-coding RNA (TAES_LNC024339)". The record is from RNAcentral. Lineage: Eukaryota; Viridiplantae; Streptophyta; Magnoliopsida; Poales; Poaceae.